GGUUCGAUUAUGGCUCAGAUUGAACGCUGGCGGGAUGCUUUACAUGCAAGUCGAACGGCACGGACUUCGGUGGCGAGUGGCGAACGGGUGAGUAAUGUAUCGGAACGUGCCUAGUAGCGGGGGAUAACUACGCGAAAGCGUAGCUAAUACCGCAUACGCCCUUCGGGGGAAAGCGGGGGACCUUCGGGCCUCGCACUAUUAGAGCGCCGAUAUCGGAUUAGCUAGUUGGUGGGGUAACGGCUCACCAAGGCGACGAUCCGUAGCUGAAGGUUUGAGAGGACGACCAGCCACACUGGACCGAGACACGGCCCGGACUCCUACGGGAGGCAGCAGUGGGGAAUGGAUAAUGGGGAAACCUGAUCCAGCCAUCCUGCGUGUGCGAUGAAGGCCUUCGCUGUAAAGCACUUUUGGCAGGAAAGAAACGGCACGGGAUAAUACCCCGUGCAACUGACGGUACCUGCAGAAUAAGCACCGGCUAACUACGUGCCAGCAGCCGCGGUAAUACGUAGGGGUGCAAGCGUUAAUCGGAAUGUCAGUGGAAGCGUGCGCAGGCGGUUCGGAAAGAAAGAUGUGAAAUCCCAGAGCUUAACUUUGGAACUGCAUUUUUAACUACCGAGCUAGAGGUGUCAGAGGGAGGUGGAAUUCCGCGUGUAGCAGUGAAAUGCGUAGAUAUGCGGAGGAACACCGAUGGCGAAGGCAGCCUCCUGGGAUAACAUGACGCCUGCACGAAAGCGUGGGGAGCAAAUGGUGAUUAGAUACCCCUGGUAGUCCACGCCCUAAACGAUGUCAACUAGCUGUUGGGGCCUUCGGGCCUGGUAGCGCAGCUAACGCGGUGCUGACCGCCUGGGGAGUACGGUCGCAAGAUUAAAACUCAAAGGAAUUGACGGGACCCGCACAAGCAGGAUGAUGUGGAUUAAUUCGAUGCAACGCGAAAAACCUUACCUACCCUUGGAUAUGUCUGGAAUCCCGAAGAGAUUUGGGAGUGCUCGCAAGAGAACCGGAACACAGGUGCUGCAUGGCUGUCGUCAGCUCGUGUCGUGAGAUGUUGGGUUAAGUCCCGCAACGAGCGGCAACCCUUGUCAUUAGUUGCUACGAAAGGCACUCUAUCGAGACUGCCGGUGACAAACCGGAGAAGGUGGGGAUGACGUCAAGUCCUCAUGGCCCUUAUGGGUAGGGCUUCACACGUCAUACACAAUGGUCGGGACAGAGGGUCGCUAACCCGCGAGGGGGAGCCAAAUCCCAGAAACCCGAUCGUAGUCCGGAUCGCAGUUCGCAACUCGACUGCGUGAAGUCGGAAUCGCUAGUAAUCGCGGAUCAGCAUGUCGCGGUGAAUACGUUCCCGGGUCUUGUACACACCGCCCGUCACACCAUGGGAGUGGGUUUUACCAGAAGUAGUUAGCCUAACUCGUAAGGAGGGCGAUUAUCACGUAGGGAUUCAUGACUGGGGUGAAGUCGUGAAGAAGGU
RNAcentral lists this ribosomal RNA (1465 nucleotides) under uncultured Bordetella sp. RNAcentral describes it as "partial 16S-23S ribosomal RNA intergenic spacer". It matches the Rfam family "Bacterial small subunit ribosomal RNA". Lineage: Bacteria; Pseudomonadati; Pseudomonadota; Betaproteobacteria; Burkholderiales; Alcaligenaceae. The record is from RNAcentral.